Molecule: ribosomal RNA, 460 nt
Filed under: uncultured bacterium
Lineage: Bacteria
Description: partial 16S ribosomal RNA
Rfam family: Bacterial small subunit ribosomal RNA
Source: RNAcentral
CCUACGGGUGGCAGCAGUGAGGAAUAUUGGUCAAUGGGCGGGAGCCUGAACCAGCCAAGUCGCGUGAGGGAAGACGGUCCUAUGGAUUGUAAACCUCUUUAGGCGGGGAGCAAUGCCGGGCACGCGUGCCCGGAGGGAGAGUACCAGCAGAAUAAGCAUCGGCUAACUCCGUGCCAGCAGCCGCGGUAAUACGGAGGAUGCGAGCGUUAUCCGGUUUUAGUGGGUGUAAAGGGUGCGUAGGCGGAUGUUUAAGUCAGCGGUAAAAUGUCCGGGCUCAACCCGGGCCGGCCGUUGAAACUGGUGAUCUUGAGUGGGCGAGAGGUAUGCGGAAUGCGUGGUGUAGCGGUGAAAUGCGUAGAUAUCACGCAGAACUCCGAUUGCGAAGGCAGCAUACCGGCGCCCGACUGACGCUGAGGCACGAAAGCGUGGGGAUCGAACAGGAUUAGAUACCCUUGUAGUC